Molecule: long non-coding RNA, 2995 nt
Organism: Phacochoerus africanus (Common warthog)
Lineage: Eukaryota; Metazoa; Chordata; Mammalia; Artiodactyla; Suidae
Exons: 2
Source: RefSeq, a predicted model, not a curated record
UUAUGGAAGAAGACGUGUAUGAAAGCUGACGUUCCCAGGACCCAUGAAAAUUACAAUGUAACCUAUGCCGUAUUUCACCUAUGCUGGAUUCUAGAGAUAAGACGAGUCAAAAGAAAAAAAAAAGAUGAGUAAGAUGCAAUUUUUGUGCCCAAAGCACUCACAGUCUCCUGAAGAAAAUGGACAUAAAAAAGAGAGCUCAUCACGUGAUUUCCUUGAAGGUGUUUGAAAGAGUAAUUAUAGCUUGAAGGACGCAAGAGUUUUACUACAAAAUAUGAUUCAGUAUGUAGACUUGGUCUUAUCCUUCUUUUAGUUAAACUUCACAAAAAUUGCAUUUGUCUGUGUUUUAAUGGUGCCUAGACGACUGCGUGACUAUGCGGUUGCUCCUUCCAAACACAACUGAUGUCAGCAUCCAGAGUAAGUCAAAUGUUCAUAUUUUACCAGCACAUUUCAUCGGCAAGACCCCAGAGGAAGUGCCAGGGCCUGGGUAUUGGCGGUUCCACGGGGGAAAUGAGAGAUGAGGUGUGGUUCCCCCAGCUUAGCGAAGCUCGCUUACUUAUGUUCUUCUGAGUUUUACUGAGGCUUCAGACAUGGAACAGACGCUUGGCUGCACUUUCUCUGUUCACAAAAUGUCUCGCUUACGUGAGAUUCAGCCCUUACUUUUUCAAUUACUGUGUCUGAAUGCUGUGACCGACAUAGUCAGAGGGCUCUCCUCAACCGAAAUCUUCCGUGGUAACGUUGGGCCCCCUUCCACAUUGUUUUUGUCAAUCGGAGAAGUUUUAUUUUUUUAACUAUUUUCCGUUUUACCUGCAGUAUCUUAUUCCACACAUAAGCUUUUUCCCCUAGGACAUUGGAAAGAGCACAGGCGCAGACACACCUGGAUGUGAAUCAGAAUUCUGUCACACAAGCUGCAUGGCCUUGGCCAACUCAUUUAAACUCAUUGCAUCUCGGCACCUUCAUCUACAAAAUGAGGAGCCCUGAGCGUGUGUUACAAACGUGCUGGAGGAAUUAGAAUGAUACAUGGUAGGCUUUAGGCCAGUACCCGGGAUAUACCGGAUGCUAAACAAGAGCCGCUGUUAUUAUUUGGCCGUAUUUUGCAAAUUAAGACACCGACACACAGGCACAUUAAUGACCUUGGCCAGCUUUGAGUGGCUAAGGGCAUCCAGGUAUUCCUGGAAAGUUGGAGCAGUGCAUCUGAUCAAGCCUUAUGAAGAGUGAAAUCGUAGGACACAAAGAAAGUGCAGAAGCAAAAGGGACAGAAAAAGUAUUACCAUCAAAGCAACCAUAUAAUCAGUAUAUAUUUAUCGAACACAUCGUAAGUAUAAGUUGUUCUGUGUACCAGUUGGGCCACUUUGGUUUGCAAAUGACUGAAUCCUGUCUUGCCCGCAUGAAAAGGAGAACCUGCUGGCUGGUAUAACCCAAACACAGAAUGGAGGGAACUGGGCCUGGGGACGUGUGGGUUCUGUGGCAGAAACACUUUCAGGGCUCAUACUCUAGUUCUAAUUAGUGUGUCUGGUGCUCUUGGCUGAUGGCUUUUUCCAUGCCAGAGGAAAUGUGGCUGCCAGCUACCGCGGUGUCUGUUUCAUCCUAGCAGCUUUUCUAUCAGCUAAGAAAGAUUUUUCCCCCUUUGGCCCCAGCCUGAAAAGCAAGCAUGACGACUCUGGUCACAUAUUCCUAUCCAGGCCAGUCAUAAGCAGGAAGAUUGGGGAUUGUGACUGGUCCAGCUGAAAGCACACAGCCACCUUUUCACUAGAAUUUUUCCCAUGGAAAGAGGUGCCGGGGCCUUUCUCUUUGAGAAGAGGUAAGGGGGUCGUGAAUGUCUCAGUGCGCCGUGCACCUGAACUAACACAACCUUGUAAGUCAACUCCACUCAAUAAAAUUAAACUUUAAAAAAAAUGGUAGAGUUGGUUGCAAAAGCCAAAAGACUGGACUCUCAGGAUGUCUGGCUAAGAUGCCGCAAGGCCUGAGCGAACACGGACAAGUCGUGUGGACUUGGCAGCUGAGAAAGGAAGCUCAUCGUACAUUCACCUCGCAGUGUGUCAGCUCAUGCGGUAAAAACUUAAACUGAUUUCUUAAUGUACAUACCUUCUAAUGGAGAAAGUUAUAAACACUUGGGAACUAUUACAGAAAGAGUAGAACCUCUAAAGAGGAUGGCUGGUGGUGAUCACUGCUGUUUGAAAAACCUCAGGAUGUCUCGUCCUGUGGGGACGCGUCUUUGUAACAGUGAGCUUGCCCUGUGUGCUUGCUGUGGAGUGGGCUGGGGUGGGAGCUCAAAGCAGGCUCAUACAUUGAGUUCGCAGUGGAGGGACUUCUCUCGUCAUCCUGGCUGAGGUCAUUUGGUGCCGAACUGCCUGCUCCUGGCUCCAGCACGUCAGCGUCCACUCCCCGCUGCCCAGUGUCAGAGAUCUGGGCGGCUCGUGACAGACCAGGGUCCGUGGUUUGUCUUCUUACACCAACCUCAUCACUGCCCCACUCGCUUCACACUUCUCCCGGCGGUUGGGACCCCAGUUCAAGAUUACCUUGAUUGCUUUCAGGUCUUGAGUCAUGAAUCCCUCUAAACUAUUUUUACCUCAAAACGUUCUUGUGUUUUCACCAACUCGUUUUUUCCCUCUUUGUUUCGCUGUUUCUUUUCCAAGGCUAAAUUCUUCCCUCCUCGCAGCCCUGGCAAACUAGCUCCAUCCUUUACUGCAUCUUCCGUCUGCAUCUCCAGCUCUUCCCGCCCCGCUCCCCGCGAGCCCCGCUCCCUGAGACGCCAGCGGCGCAGAGGGUGGGGCGCACGGUGGCCCCGAAAUGGGGCAGAAACGGAAUCGUAUGUCACCGCUACCCCAGCUUUCUCCCUCGUUCCACAAUCAUCUGGAAAGUGGGCAUAGGAACCUGGCAGGUGGACGACAGGGCUGGAAAGGAGACAUCGCCAUACAUCUUUCUCUGCUUCUGAUGCUCGAACUAUGUAAAUGCGCUCCCUCUUCAAGAAAUCAAAUACAUUUUAUUUUUAAAAUCA